AUGUCCGUGGGAGAAUCCGUAGGUUCUCAUAGUCUGCAUUCGUUUGCAGAAUUCUUACGGCAACACAUUAACUCUCCCGAAGCCAGUUCCUGUUUGUCCAGCAAGCGAAAGCCUUUGAAGCCUUUGAACAUAUUGAAGCCAUUCAGUUUGAAGUUCAUGGCUGCAAAAAAAUCUGUAAGGAAGGGUGGCAGACAGCGUCGAGGGGGAACAUCAAAAGAUUUGCCUGAUGACCUCGCAGACCUUUACAAGACAGAUCCUGAUGAGGAUUACAAUCAGCGCAAGACACGAAUCCAAUGGAUUCGACGAUAUUGGGCUGAACAAUGGUUCAAGUACAAGUUCGUGACCCAGGAGUACGCUGAGAAGAAUGCUAUCAAAAGUCCUUGGGGUGAUAUUCUCUAUCGAGGCCUUCCCCCCAAGAACAGAGCUGAAGCUAUUGCACAAGAAUUCUAUCCUUGUAUGGUCCGUGGACCAUAA
RNAcentral lists this ribosomal RNA (474 nucleotides) under Triticum aestivum (bread wheat). Its description in RNAcentral is "partial small subunit ribosomal RNA". The record is from RNAcentral. Lineage: Eukaryota; Viridiplantae; Streptophyta; Magnoliopsida; Poales; Poaceae.